GUCAGGAUGGCCGAGUGGUCUAAGGCGCCAGACUUAACCUCUGAGUGGAGGCGUGGGUUAGAAUCCCACUUCUGACA
Ornithorhynchus anatinus (platypus) is the source of this 77-nucleotide non-coding RNA. The record is from the annotation of a RefSeq genome assembly. Lineage: Eukaryota; Metazoa; Chordata; Mammalia; Monotremata; Ornithorhynchidae.